GAUGAACGCUGGCGGCGUGCCUAAUACAUGCAAGUCGAACGAGCAUACGAGGAGCUUUCUGCGCUGACGUUGGCGCCGACCGGGGGAUUAAACGGUGGAUAACCUACCUAUACUACUGGAAUACCUUCGGAAAACCGGGCCUAAUCCGGGAGAAUUUGUUGAGCCGCAUGGUGCGAUAGGGAAAGACGCUUUUUCGUGCACUUAUGGAUGGAGCGGCGCCGGAUUAGCUAGUUGGUGAUGUAAGGGCGACCGAAGGCAACGAUGCUUAGCCGCCCUGAGAGGGGGAUCGGCCACACUGGAGCUGAGACGCGGUCCAGACGCCUACGGGAGGCAGCAGUAGGGAAUCUUACGCAAUGGGCGAAAGCCUGAUGGAGCAACGCCGCGGGAGUGAUGAAGGUCUUCGGCUCGUAAAACUCUUCUAUUAGGGAAGAACAAAGGUGUAAGUAACUAUGCACGUCUUGACGGUACCGAAUUAGAAAGCCCCGGCUAACUACGUG
Molecule: ribosomal RNA, 497 nt
Filed under: uncultured bacterium
Lineage: Bacteria
Description: partial 16S ribosomal RNA
Rfam family: Bacterial small subunit ribosomal RNA
Source: RNAcentral